CGCUAAACGAUGCACACCUGUAACUCACGUGACCCAUGGUUAUUAUUGAAACGAGAACGAGGGCGUCGUGCCUUUAUAAGACUGCGUUAAUGGUUCCGUGGAGUUAUCCCUUCCGUUGUUGUUCUUUGAUUGUUAAACAUGGCUUCAUUUGCAAAGGUGGUUGUGUGUGUCCUCAUUGCUUGUGUCUGUAAUGCAUUCGGUUUUCCGAAGAAAGAUGUGAACUUUAAGGCCUCUGCAGUUGACCGCCAAAGUGAUGAUGUGGUUGUCACCACAACACCCAAUCCCCACAACCAGACCACCUCUGCCCCUACUGAAGCUGGUGGUGGAGCAAGUGAAGAUGCUGUGGCUACUACCCCAGCACCUAAUCCACACAACCAGACAACUUCUGCACAAACUGAAGUUACUGAUGGGGCCAGUGAAGAUGCUGUGGACCGCCAAAGUGAUGAUGUGGUUGUCGCCACAACACCCGUUCCCCACAACCAGACCACCUCUGCCCCUACUGAAGCUGAUGGAGCAAGUGAAGAUGGAGCAAGUGAAGAUGGAGCAAGUGAAGAUGGAGCAAGUGAAGAUGGAGCAAGUGAAGAUGGAGCAAGUGAAGAUGGAGCAAGUGAAGAUGGAGCAAGUGAAGAUGAUGCAAGUGAAGAUGAUGCAGAUGAUGAUGAUGAUGCAAGUGAAGAUGCUGUGGCUACCACCCCAACACCAAAUCCCCCAACUACAUCUGACCACACUGCAGCUACCGAUGAUGCAAGUGAGGGUGCUGUGGCUGCCCAAACUGGAACUACUGUAUCCCAUACGACUGAAGUCUGAUUCGACUGCUCCUCUGGUCACAAUGACCUGUCUGGACUUUUUGCCUCUACAUGUUCACUGCAAUAAAGGACAGAUUUGUAUUUUUUUUUUAAUCAAAUGUUGUCUUGCCUUUUUCAAAUUGAGGCCUUGUCCUGUUUUGGUAGUGGAGAUAACUGACGCCUCUUUCCUAACGCACUACAUUUCUGGCAACUUAUAAUGCAUAGUGAACAUGUAAUAAUUCGGUGGUAUGAUCCCAGGAGAACAUUUUUAAGAAACAAAUCACAGAAUUGUGGUUCCUCGCCGUUUUUUUUUUAAUAUAAAUCGAGGCUUUCCUCAUAAUACCGCAAGAACAAAAAGGAAAUAAAAACUAAACGAGUCAAUUCCUCAAAAUGAUAUGAAUUGCUACUGCUGCACUCGUAAAACUUCUAACUAAACUGAAAUUAAAAACCAAACUGAAA
Clupea harengus (Atlantic herring) is the source of this 1244-nucleotide long non-coding RNA. The record is from Ensembl. NCBI's taxonomy places the organism in Eukaryota, Metazoa, Chordata, Actinopteri, Clupeiformes, Clupeidae.